UCCGUAGGCGGUGUGGCAAGUCGGAAGUGAAAUCUCUGGGCUUAACUCAGAGGCUGCUUCCGAAACUGCCGUGCUAGAGUGCGAGAGAGGCAAGUAGAAUUGCGGGUGUAGCGGUGAAAUGCGUAGAUAUCCGCAGGAACAUCCGAGGCGAAAGCGGCUUGCUGGAUCGCAACUGACGCUGAGGGACGAAAGCUAGGGGAGCAAACAGGAUUAGAUACCCUGGUAGUCCUAGCCCUAAACCAUCAGGACUUGGGGUUUGCCCUGUACGGGGCAAGUCCCGUAGCUAACGCGUUAAGUCCUGCGCCUGGGGAGUACGGUCGCAAGGCUGAA
This 330-nucleotide ribosomal RNA is filed under the name uncultured bacterium. Its description in RNAcentral is "bacterial SSU rRNA". It matches the Rfam family "Bacterial small subunit ribosomal RNA", at positions 568 to 898 of the family's 1533-position model. The record is from RNAcentral.